RNAcentral lists this ribosomal RNA (254 nucleotides) under uncultured bacterium. Its description in RNAcentral is "partial 16S ribosomal RNA". It matches the Rfam family "Bacterial small subunit ribosomal RNA", at positions 100 to 353 of the family's 1533-position model. The record is from RNAcentral.
CGGGGUGAGUAACGCGUGGGUAACCUGCCUUAUACAGGGGGAUAACAGUCAGAAAUGGCUGCUAAUACCGCAUAAGCGCACAGAGCUGCAUGGCUCAGUGUGAAAAACUCCGGUGGUAUAAGAUGGACCCGCGUUGGAUUAGCUUGUUGGCAGGGUAACGGGCCUACCAAGGCGACGAUCCAUAGCCGGCCUGAGAGGGUGAACGGCCACAUUGGGACUGAGACACGGCCCAGACUCCUACGGGAGGCAGCAUG